GAUGAAGAACGUAGCGAAAUGCGAUAAGUAAUGUGAAUUGCAGAGUUCAGUGAAUCAUCGAAUCUUUGAACGCACAUUGCGCCCGCCAGUAUUCUGGCGGGCAUGCCUGUUCGAGCGUCAUUUCAACCAUCAAGCCCCGGGCUUGUGUUGGGGACCUGCGGCUGCCGCAGGCCCUGAAAUGCAGUGGCGGGCUCGCUGUCACUCCGAGCGUAGUAGUUACAUCUCGCUCUGGGCGUGCUGCGGGUUCCGGCCGUUAAAAGCCUUAUUUACCCAAGGUUGACCUCGGAUCAGGUAGGAAGACCCGCUGAACUUAAGCAUAUCAAUAAGCGGAGGA
Molecule: unclassified non-coding RNA, 334 nt
Filed under: soil metagenome
Description: partial contains 5.8S ribosomal RNA, internal transcribed spacer 2, and large subunit ribosomal RNA
Rfam family: 5.8S ribosomal RNA (bases 1-120)
Source: RNAcentral